This 408-nucleotide ribosomal RNA is filed under the name uncultured bacterium. RNAcentral describes it as "partial 16S ribosomal RNA". It matches the Rfam family "Bacterial small subunit ribosomal RNA", at positions 28 to 526 of the family's 1533-position model. The record is from RNAcentral.
GACGAACGCUGGCGGCGUGCUUAACACAUGCAAGUCGAACGAAGUGGCGAACGGGUGAGUAAUACGUGGGUAACCUGCCCUCCUUUUUGGGAUAAGCCUUGGAAACGGGGUCUAAUACCGAAUAAAGGGGGAUGGGCUCGCGGCCUAUCAGCUUGUUGGUGGGGUGAUGGCCUACCAAGGCCACGAUGCAUAGCCGACCUGAGAGGGUGAUCGGCCACACUGGGACUGAGACACGGCCCAGACUCCUACGGGAGGCAGCAGUAGGGAAUCUUCGGCAAUGGACGAAAGUCUGACCGAGCAACGCCGCGUGUAUGAAGAAGGCCCUAGGGUUGUAAAGUAUUUUCAGUCGGGAGGCGUUACCGACAGAAGAAGCACCGGCUAACUCCGUGCCAGCCGCCGCGGUAAUUC